CCAUAUCACCCUGCAGCCCAAGACUGGUUGCCCACUGAAGCUAAGCAGGGUUGAGCCUGGUCAGUACCUGGAUGGGAGACCUCCUGGGAAAACUAGGUUG
Molecule: ribosomal RNA, 100 nt
Filed under: Sinocyclocheilus grahami
Lineage: Eukaryota; Metazoa; Chordata; Actinopteri; Cypriniformes; Cyprinidae
Source: RNAcentral